Molecule: long non-coding RNA, 909 nt
Filed under: Ananas comosus (pineapple)
Lineage: Eukaryota; Viridiplantae; Streptophyta; Magnoliopsida; Poales; Bromeliaceae
Description: long non-coding RNA (ACOM_LNC017070)
Source: RNAcentral
UUGUCAAGUUGUCAAGAAUUUUGAUUUUGAUUUUUGAUUUUGUUUUAUUUUGCUUUUUGAUGUAUUUUUAUGUAUUUUAAAAUUUGGUGGGGAAUUGUAAGGAAAAUUUUAAAAUAAUAUAUUUUGUUUAUUGUUUUUAGUGAAUGGAUGUGAUUCUUCGUGAAAGGAUGCAAUCCUUAGUGAAUGGAUGCAACUCUUAGUGAAUGGAUGCAACCCUUAGUGAGUGGAUGCAACUCUAAUCAAAGGGUAUGACUCUUAAAGUGAAAGGAUGUGACUUUUAGUGAAAGAAUAUGAUAUGAAAAGACACAUCUUUAUAGUGUGUCUCUUCGUACAUAUGCCCGUUGGAAUCAAUGGUUAUAUUCAUUGAACUUGAUUCAUAUAACUAUUUGGUAGUUAUGAUCAAAUGAAAAGUCACAAUCGAAAGGUCACUUCACGAAACACCUAUUCAUGAAUAGUCACUUCACGAAACACCCUUUCGUGAAUAGUCACUUCAUGAAGCACCCGUUCGUGGCCUAUAUAAGUCCAUAGCAUUGGUUGCAGAAGGAGACAGACAGAAAACAGUUGAAGAGUUGAAGUCUUCAUUCAUAAUAAUUCCAUUCUUGUUUUAUAUUCUAUUUCUUUUGACAACUUAAUCGAGUGAGUGCUCAAAGGCUCGACUUCGUGUGUGCAAACGCAGUUGAGGUUUACGCUUCAUUGUAUCCUGGGAGGUUGUUCGUUGACCCGGUGCACACCAAAUUGUUAGAACGGUGGGGACGGAUUAAGCCUUAAGGAAAGUGGCAUUGCUAUACGCCUUGAAGCCUUUUUAAUCUUUCUAUUUCAUACCUUUAUCACAAUCUGUUCAACAUUAGGUUCAAUUUUACACUAACUAAUCUAACAAAGAUUAUAUUCCAUAACCUAGUCUUCUUAUCC